RNAcentral lists this ribosomal RNA (155 nucleotides) under uncultured bacterium. Its description in RNAcentral is "partial 16S ribosomal RNA". It matches the Rfam family "Bacterial small subunit ribosomal RNA", at positions 337 to 508 of the family's 1533-position model. The record is from RNAcentral.
UCCUACGGGAGGCAGCAGUGGGGAAUAUUGCACAAUGGGGGAAACCCUGAUGCAGCGACGCCGCGUGGAGGAAAGAAGGUCUUCGGAUUGUAAACUCCUGUUGUUGAGGAAGAUAAUGACGGUACUCAACAAGGAAGUGACGGCUAACUACGUGC